AAAAAAUUUAAAGCAAGUUAAAAAAAAUAACCUGAUCUCUUCACUCUCUUAUCUCUAUCUCUUACAUCAGCCCUUAGAUAUCUCUCAUCUCUCUCUGCCCUAAGAUAUCUCUUCAUUAUCUAAUCUCUAUCACUUAUAUAUCCACUCUCAUCAGCUCUUAGGUAUCUCUCAUCUCUAAGUCCCUAACCCAAAAGCUAACCUCCUGAACAUCCGACCAUCCGCAAUUCCAAAAUCAACUGUCUAUGUAUUACCACCAGCAACCACCACCUCAGGCUGCCGCGCCUCCUCAACAGUAGCAACCCAGCCAGCUAGCUCCGGCGAGAUCCGCACACUUUGGAGUUUGGAUCGGAGAUCUUCAGUUUUGGAUGGAUAAGAAUUUUCUUUUGGGUUAUUUCACUCAAUCUGGUCAUCUUUUCAUUUCAUUUCUUUUUUUAUUUCCCAUUUUUUUUGGGUAAUACACAUGUAGUUUGGACUUUUGGUGACUGGUGUGCUUGUUUUUCUUGUGAUUUAUGUACUAAAACAGAAAUUUUUUGGUUAUCAAAUUACCUUAUUAUUGGAAAAAGUAAAAAAGUAAAAGAAACAGAAAUUUGGAUCCCCUUCUUUAGAUUUUGGAAACUCUGCAAGUAUAAAUUCUAUCCCUCUGAAGGUGUAAAAAUGUGUACUGUCUCAAUUUCGGUUAUUAACCAAAACCCGAAUUAUAAAUUUGGUUUUCGGUAUUUCGGUUAUUGCUAAAUUCGGUUAGUUGUUGGAAUAGUAAAAUUAAGAAUAUUUCGCUAUUCAGUUAUAUCCGAAUAAUCUAUUCGGUUCAGUUUAUUCGAAAUGCUCACCCUCUGUAUGUGCCCCCUACCCUAGCCUUGAGUCCGUCCUUGCUCACAUAAAGGUGAAAUCUACUCACUAUUUAAGCCUUGAGUCCGUCCUUGCUCACAUAAAGGUGAAAUCUACUCACUAUUUAUAUAACAGAGAUUAUGUAGAAAUAUCAGUUCUCUAUGUCUUCAAUGGAUAACUAAUGUUAUGAAUCAUCUCACAUUCAG
This 1031-nucleotide long non-coding RNA is filed under the name Panax ginseng (ginseng). RNAcentral describes it as "long non-coding RNA (PGIN_LNC011838)". The record is from RNAcentral. Lineage: Eukaryota; Viridiplantae; Streptophyta; Magnoliopsida; Apiales; Araliaceae.